RNAcentral lists this long non-coding RNA (513 nucleotides) under Equus asinus (donkey). RNAcentral describes it as "lncRNA (ENSEASG00005025982.1, ENSEASG00020019009.1)". The record is from RNAcentral. Lineage: Eukaryota; Metazoa; Chordata; Mammalia; Perissodactyla; Equidae.
AGUACUUACCAUUCUCGGUGCCAGGAUGAAGGAGACAGUGGACAGUCCUCGGCCUUCUGGAGCUGACGUUCUCGAGACUGUGUGGUCUGGCUGCACCAGUAGCUUGCAAGUAAGAUGAAAAGUUUUACGCAGAAUGAGCCAUCCAGGGCUGAACUGGCAGCUCCUCAGCUCUCCUCUCCACUGUCGCUAGAGUGCAGCUCCCUCCUCAGGAUGAUCUCGUGAUUGCAACACGACUGAAGCAGCCCUGGGUGGGUCUUCAGCGUGUCUUCACUCCAGAGGAAGAGUAGCCCUGAGCUAAUGAUCUGCUGCCAUUCCUCCUCUUUUUGCUGAGGAAGACUGGCCCUGAGCUAACAUCUGUGCCCAUCUUCCUCUACUACACCUACCACAGCACAGUGUGCCAAGAGGUGCCAUGUCCACACCCAGGAUCCGAACCAGUGAACCCCAGGCCACUGAAGCAGAAUGUGUGCACUUAACUGCUGUGCCACCAGGCCAGCUCCAAAUUAGCUCCUUUUA